Molecule: ribosomal RNA, 425 nt
Filed under: uncultured bacterium
Lineage: Bacteria
Description: partial 16S ribosomal RNA
Rfam family: Bacterial small subunit ribosomal RNA
Source: RNAcentral
GUGGGGAAUAUUGGACAAUGGGCGCAAGCCUGAUCCAGCCAUGCCGCGUGAGUGAUGAAGGCCUUAGGGUUGUAAAGCUCUUUCAGUGGGGACGAUAAUGACGGUACCCACAGAAGAAGCCCCGGCUAACUUCGUGCCAGCAGCCGCGGUAAUACGAAGGGGGCUAGCGUUGUUCGGAUUUACUGGGCGUAAAGCGCACGUAGGCGGAUCGUUAAGUCGGGGGUGAAAUCCUGGAGCUCAACUCCAGAACUGCCUUCGAUACUGGCGAUCUUGAGUCCGGAAGAGGUGAGUGGAACUCCUAGUGUAGAGGUGAAAUUCGUAGAUAUUCGGAGGAACACCAGUGGCGAAGGCGGCUCACUGGCUCGAUACUGACGCUGAGGUGCGAAAGCGUGGGGAGCAAACAGGAUUAGAAACCCGAGUAGUCC